GUUAAAAGACCGGUUCUCGUGCGAUCACCGAAGUUAAGCAACGUCGAUCCUAGUCAAUACCUAUAUUGUUGACCGCUUGGGAAUACCAAGUGCUGUAAG
Acanthosepion pharaonis is the source of this 99-nucleotide non-coding RNA. Lineage: Eukaryota; Metazoa; Mollusca; Cephalopoda; Sepiida; Sepiidae. The record is from the annotation of a GenBank genome assembly.